CGGAAGUAGUAUAGAGUGGCGCACGGGUGAGUAACACGUAGGUUAUCUACCUCCGAGUGGGGAAUAACAACCGGAAACGGUUGCUAAUACCGCAUAAUACCGAAAGGUCAAAGCUUUAGUGCCUGGAGAGGAGCCUGCGGCAGAUUAGCUAGUUGGUAAGGUAAUGGCUUACCAAGGCGACGAUCUGUAUCCGGUCUAAGAGGACGGUCGGACACACUGACACUGAAUAACGGGUCAG
This 238-nucleotide ribosomal RNA is filed under the name uncultured bacterium. Its description in RNAcentral is "partial 16S ribosomal RNA". It matches the Rfam family "Bacterial small subunit ribosomal RNA", at positions 80 to 334 of the family's 1533-position model. The record is from RNAcentral.